GAGCAAAAUCUUAAGGUGAUCUUGAAACUUUUUGGUAAUUUUAAUAGACUAUUUUUGUGAAAUUUGUGGUUUUUGAAGUUCUUGUCUGAAUGAGUUCAUUUUGGACUGACUAAUUUUUUGAAUGAUCCAAUCAGGGAGAAAAAAAAAUCUAUUAAUACUUUUUCAGUUUAUUUAUAAAAAAAAUAGCUGUGCAAACUCAAACUUGAUUUUCAAACUCGUCUAAAAAGUAGGCUAAGGUUGAAAAUAUUGGUCUCUGGAAUACAUCUAAUUGCAUUCAUUAUCGCCUUACUAUUAUGCUUGUCUAACUAUGGAUAUUAUUUUGUAUAUUCAUCAUGUUAUGCCAAAUGAAAAGGUGAAAUAUAUUUUUGCUUGUAUAUAGAGUGCCACUUCUCCUUACUCUCUAUAUAAAUAUCUCGGUAGCUUGGUACUUUUGUGGCAUUUUGUUCUUUUACAUUAUUCU
Molecule: unclassified non-coding RNA, 460 nt
Filed under: Hevea brasiliensis (rubber tree)
Lineage: Eukaryota; Viridiplantae; Streptophyta; Magnoliopsida; Malpighiales; Euphorbiaceae
Source: RNAcentral